Molecule: ribosomal RNA, 814 nt
Filed under: uncultured bacterium
Lineage: Bacteria
Description: bacterial SSU rRNA
Rfam family: Bacterial small subunit ribosomal RNA
Source: RNAcentral
UCGACGAGGAGCUUUUGUCUUCGGACGGGAGAAUUCCUAGUGGCGAACGGGUGAGUAACGCGUUGGUGACCUGCCCCAAAGAAGGGGAUAACAGCUCGAAAGGACUGCUAAUACCCUAUGUGAUCAGUUGGAUUAGACGCCUACUGAUUAAAGGAGUAAUCCACUUUGGGAGGGACCUGCGUCCCAUCAGCUAGUUGGUAGGGUAACGGCCUACCAAGGCAAUGACGGGUAGGGGACCUGAGAGGGUGACCCCCCACAAUGGCACUGAAACACGGGCCAUACACCUGCGGGUGGCAGCAGUAGGGAAUAUUGGACAAUGGGCGAAAGCCUGAUCCAGCAACACCGCGUGCACGAUGACGGCCUUCGGGUUGUAAAGUGCUUUUAGAGGAGAUGAGAAAGGACAGUAUCCUCUGAAUAAGCCUCGGCGGACUACGUGCCAGCAGCCGCGGUAAAACGUAGGAGGCAAGCGUUAUCCGGAUUUAUUGGGCGUAAAGCGUGUGCAGGCGGUCUAGCAAGUUGGAUGUGAAAUCUCCCGGCUUAACUGGGAGAGGUCGUUCAAUACUGCUAGACUAGAGAAUGGGGAGAGGGAGGUGGAAUUCCGGGGGUAGGUGGUGAAAUGCGUAGAUGUCCCGGAGGAACACCAGUGGCGAAAAGCGGCCUCCUAGACCAUUUCUUGACGCGUAGACACGAAAGCUAGGGUAGCAAACGGGAUUAGAGACCCCGGUAGUCCUAGCUGUAAACGAUGUAACUUGGUUGUUGGCGGAUUAAUCUGGCGGUACCGUACUAACGCGAUAAUCUACCGCCUGGGGACUGU